UAGGAUUCAGCACGAGUUACAGUGUAUACAAAUGCAAGCCGUUUUCUGUCACAUGCAAAGAAGCCCCUUCACAUCUCACUACAACCAGGGGUGAGAUCUGUCCCCCAGGGGACAUCUGUCAGGCUGUAAUAAGUGGGCGGAGGGUGUUAGUGGUAUCUGGUGAGUAGGAGUCAGGAGGUGACUGAGCACCCUACAGUGAGCAGGACAGUUGCCCCACCCCCACAGAGGGUCCCCAAGUCAACAGCACUGAGCCUGAACAACUUGGAUAGGAACUCAUACUCAAAUCCUCACAAGCAAGUUAUGAUUUGGCUGGGCCAUGAGUUCGAGAAGCCGGACCCAAAAGGCCACAGUCUGUGACUCCAUCCCUGUGACUUUUAACGUGUGGCCCAAGACGGUUCUUCCUCCCCAGGCUUAGACCAGGAGAGUCAAAACAACUGCCGGGCUUGCUUUUAAAACCUCGCUAGCUGCUGUAGGACCGACCGUUCAGAAUUCAAGCCCUGGGGCCCGAGAUGGCUCAGCAAGUAAAGGCACUGAGGACCGGGGUUCGAUCCCGGGGAUUCCACGUUGGUGGAAGGAAAGAACCAGGUACUGAAAGUUGUCCUCUGACCUCCACACGGGUGCGCUGCCACACUCCCCUCCCCCGCAAAUACAUAAAAGGUAACACGAGAGGAGAAAAAGAAAGCAAGCGCUGAAUUCGGACACCCGAGUUCGAAUCCAAGUCUACCCACUCCCCCGCGUCCCUGGGCCUUUCUAAAGGAAGCCAUCGAUCUCUCAGGGUCAUCAAGGCGCACGGAGGAUGCUCGAGGCACCCGAGGACGGCUAAGAUUAGUGCUGCCUCGGUCUCGGUCAGAGAAACAUCUACUUACAGUGGGCAGCAGUUAAUGCAGACUCACUGCUGGCCAAUAUCCCGAGAACAAGUCACUGUUGAGUACUCAGCCCCCAAAGUGACAUCUGUGUCACCGCCUCCACGCCUCAAGGAACAUCAGUUGAAGAGGGGGCGGGAAACACAUGAGAGCCAGAAGACAGUAAGGAGAGCAGGAGAGGAUACAGCCAUUGCACACAAUAGCAGCGGUGAUUCCCUGCUUAAGACCUGUGCAAGACAGGGCCCAUUAUGGAUGGGGAAGGACGCAGGAGACCCCCUCCCCAACCUGAGAAGGAGAGGUGGUGUCCACAAUGUGGGCUGUUUUCAAACGGGACAAAGAGGCAUUCACUGUUGCUCUGCCGACUGAUGACUUCUGAUUAUUUUCAUCAUCUAAGCUUCAGUGGAAAUAUCUUUGAUGACAAGCAGAGAAGCCAUUUCGGAACAAGAUCAAACCCAGUCCCACCAUCACUAUUGACUCCUGCUAAACUCUCUUAAGAGAUCUGUGGAAGACACCGGGACCAGAGGGGCCACAUUUCGGGAUUCCGGAGACAGGAGAAUUGUAAGUGGGUGAGCUGAUAUGGGUGCCGGGAAAGAGGCUGAGAAGAUAAACUUUCACCAGGUGAGUGGACUGUUGCUGAGGUGGGGGCAGGGCAGAGAAACCAGAAGAACUUGUGUCCAUCUCAUUAGUCCUGUGGGGACAAACAAGGGACUUUUGGGAGGUUGAUCUCCCAGAGAAGAACAGAAAACGAGUCUGAAAAUGGCAUUUUUUAGCUUGGGAUAACUGGCGGGUUUGGAUAACGCCACAGGGCAAAAGGCUGAGAAGCCAUGGAGGAAGUUCCAGAAAAACAAAACAGUGUUCAAAAAUCUUGUCAUACUUUGGGAAUUGGGACACAGGGGCAGGGAGAGGGGACUCUG
This is a long non-coding RNA of Peromyscus californicus insignis, 1777 nucleotides long. RefSeq lists it as uncharacterized. Lineage: Eukaryota; Metazoa; Chordata; Mammalia; Rodentia; Cricetidae. The record is from RefSeq and is a predicted model, not a curated record. The transcript has 3 exons.